CACUCAGCGUUCUUCAGAUGGAGGUCGCCUCUAUGUGCAGGAAAGAAAGCGACGUCCUCUGCAGAUAGAGUUCGAUCUUAUCCACGCCGGACGCCGCCCCACACCAUCCCCCCCCCCCCCCCCCCCCCCCCCCCCCAAAAAAAAAGAUCCAUCUCUUUGUGCAUUCCGCUUCCACCUUGUUUUCACAUAGAGGCGACCUCCAGAUGUUGUUGAGACUUUGACCACAACAAUUGAAUAAACAUGUGCUUAUCAUGAACUAUUACAUGUGGUACAAUUUCCUUUUGUGCUUUUCUAAUUACUAGCGGGAAUGUUUAGCCUCUACAAAAACAAUAGGAAUGAGUUUCUGUACACCCGUGGCUAUGUUUGAAUUGUUAAUAGUGAGACUGAGAGAGUGGUAUGGUUAGGAUGUUAGAUUUGUGCUUCCAGUGACUGAUUAGUAUCUUUUUUUGGUAGCUGGUAUGUGUUAGUUUUACCAUAAGCUUAAAGUUUAGGUAGAAUGAAGUGGAUGUGUUGUGCCAAAUUAAAUGAAUUUUCAAAUGCUCCUACCCGGGCUCUGCUUUGUGUUUUUUGAACUCCUUUGUGAUGUUGAACAAUUGUGCUUAUUAGUUGGUAAUUUACUGAUAUUGCAUUGUCAGUCCAUUAUAUUGUUGUUUAAUAGAAUAUUUGUGCGUGUUUAUUGAAUAUUGAGUUAUUGACAGAUAUGUUUUCCAUACCAAAACAAUGUUCUUAAACAUGCAUUUUAGGAUGAGUUAUUGGAAAAUGUUCGGAUUCCUUUGCAAGAUCAAAGUUUCUAUGCACUUAAUCAGCUUGUGAUUUCAUCAUCUUGGUAAUUUUACAAAAAAUAAAACUCUGGUAUAAUUGAUCAUGCACUUUGCAGUAGGUUGCAGUUUACUUUAGUUUUUUACACUCACAUUCUCAGUUCUUUGGUCCUUAGGUCGACAAGUUUGUACGACAAAGGCGACCCGGAGUCACCGUCCCUCGAAAGCGC
This 988-nucleotide long non-coding RNA is filed under the name Zea mays. RNAcentral describes it as "long non-coding RNA (ZMAY_LNC002047)". Lineage: Eukaryota; Viridiplantae; Streptophyta; Magnoliopsida; Poales; Poaceae. The record is from RNAcentral.